This 469-nucleotide ribosomal RNA is filed under the name uncultured bacterium. Its description in RNAcentral is "partial 16S ribosomal RNA". The stretch from base 20 to 332 matches the Rfam family "Bacterial small subunit ribosomal RNA", at positions 47 to 358 of the family's 1533-position model. The record is from RNAcentral.
GACGAACGCUGGCGGCGUGCUUAACACAUGCAAGUCGAACGGAAAGGCCCUGCUUUUGUGGGGUGCUCGAGUGGCGAACGGGUGAGUAACACGUGAGUAACCUGCCCUUGACUUUGGGAUAACUUCAGGAAACUGGGGCUAAUACCGGAUAGGAGCUCCUGCUGCAUGGUGGGGGUUGGAAAGUUUCGGCGGUUGGGGAUGGACUCGCGGCUUAUCAGCUUGUUGGUGGGGUAGUGGCUUACCAAGGCUUUGACGGGUAGCCGGCCUGAGAGGGUGACCGGCCACCAUGGGGACGGCGAGCGGCCCCAGAGUCGGGGGGGGGGAUAAGGGGGGGAAUAUGGAAAAGGGGGGGGGCGCUGGAGGCAGAAGGCCCGGGGGGGGGAGGGCGGCUUGGGGUUUGAAAACGUGUUCCCCCUGUGAAGAGGGGGGGGGGAGGGUAAGGGAAAAAGAGGCACCGGCAAACUCCGUG